CAGCCGCCGCGGUAAUACGUAGGGUGCGAGCGUUAAUCGGAAUUACUGGGCGUAAAGCGUGCGCAGGCGGUUGUGUAAGACAGGUGUGAAAUCCCCGGGCUUAACCUGGGAACUGCGCUUGUGCCUGCACAGCUAGAGUAUGGCAGAGGGGGGUGGAAUUCCACGUGUAGCAGUGAAAUGCGUAGAGAUGUGGAGGAACACCGAUGGCGAAGGCAGCCCCCUGGGCCAAUACUGACGCUCAUGCACGAAAGCGUGGGGAGCAAACAGGAUUAGAUACCCGAGUAGUCCCUGUCUCUUAUAC
This 301-nucleotide ribosomal RNA is filed under the name uncultured bacterium. RNAcentral's name for it is "partial 16S ribosomal RNA". It matches the Rfam family "Bacterial small subunit ribosomal RNA", at positions 509 to 807 of the family's 1533-position model. The record is from RNAcentral.